RNAcentral lists this ribosomal RNA (429 nucleotides) under uncultured bacterium. RNAcentral's name for it is "bacterial SSU rRNA". It matches the Rfam family "Bacterial small subunit ribosomal RNA", at positions 918 to 1344 of the family's 1533-position model. The record is from RNAcentral.
GGCCCGCACAAGCGGUGGAGUAUGUGGUUUAAUUCGACGCAACGCGCAGAACCUUACCCAGCCUUGACAUCCCUGGACAACCAUAGAGAUAUGGCUUUCUCUCGCAAGAGAGACCGGGUGACAGGUGCUGCAUGGCUGUCGUCAGCUCGUGUCGUGAGAUGUUCGGUUAAGUCCGGUAACGAGCGCAACCCCUGUCCUUAGUUGCCAUCAUUCAGUUGGGCACUCUAAGGAGACUCCCGGUGUUAAACCGGCGGAAGAUGGGGAUGACGUCAAGUCCUCAUGGCCCUUACGGCUGGGGCUACACACGUACUACAAUGGCAACUACAAAGAGCAGCAAAGUCGCGAGGCCAAGCAAAUCUCAAAAAAGUUGCCUCAGUUCGGAUUGGAGUCUGCAACUCGACUCCAUGAAGUUGGAAUCGCUAGUAAUCG